GCCGAGGUGGCGGAAUAGGCAGACGCGCACGCUUGAGGGGCGUGUGGGCAAGCGCUCGUGGGGGUUCGAGUCCCCCCCUCGGCACCA
This 87-nucleotide transfer RNA is filed under the name Candidatus Fraserbacteria bacterium. Its description in RNAcentral is "tRNA-Leu". It matches the Rfam family "tRNA". Rfam says of the family: Transfer RNA (tRNA) molecules are approximately 80 nucleotides in length. Their secondary structure includes four short double-helical elements and three loops (D, anti-codon, and T loops). Further hydrogen bonds mediate the characteristic L-shaped molecular structure. tRNAs have two regions of fundamental functional importance: the anti-codon, which is responsible for specific mRNA codon recognition, and the 3' end, to which the tRNAs corresponding amino acid is attached (by aminoacyl-tRNA synthetases). tRNAs cope with the degeneracy of the genetic code in two manners: having more than one tRNA (with a specific anti-codon) for a particular amino acid; and 'wobble' base-pairing, i.e. permitting non-standard base-pairing at the 3rd anti-codon position. The record is from RNAcentral. RNAcentral also lists the same sequence under 1 other name. Lineage: Bacteria; Candidatus Fraseribacteriota.